GAUGAACGCUGGCGGCGUGCCUAAUACAUGCAAGUCGAGCGAACGGACGAGAAGCUUGCUUCUCUGAUGUUAGCGGCGGACGGGUGAGUAACACGUGGAUAACCUACCUAUAAGACUGGGAUAACUUCGGGAAACCGUAGCUAAUACCGGAUAAUAUUUUGAACCGCAUGGUUCAAAAGUGAAAGACGGCCUUGCUGUCACUUAUAGAUGGAUCCGCGCUGCAUUAGCUAGUUGGUAAGGUAACGGCUUACCAAGGCAACGAUGCAUAGCCGACCUGAGAGGGUGAUCGGCCACACUGGAACUGAGACACGGUCCAGACUCCUACGGGAGGCAUCAGUAGGGAAUCUUCCGCAAUGGGCGAAAGCCUGACGGAGCAACGCCGCGUGAGUGAUGAAGGUCUUCGGAUCGUAAAACUCUGUUAUUAGGGAAGAACAUAUGUGUAAGUAACUGUGCACAUCUUGACGGUACCUAAUCAGAAAGCCACGGCUAACUACGUG
This 497-nucleotide ribosomal RNA is filed under the name uncultured bacterium. RNAcentral describes it as "partial 16S ribosomal RNA". It matches the Rfam family "Bacterial small subunit ribosomal RNA", at positions 28 to 507 of the family's 1533-position model. The record is from RNAcentral.